Long non-coding RNA from Schistocerca americana (American grasshopper), 412 nucleotides. RefSeq lists it as uncharacterized. The record is from RefSeq and is a predicted model, not a curated record. Lineage: Eukaryota; Metazoa; Arthropoda; Insecta; Orthoptera; Acrididae. The transcript has 3 exons.
GUUUUAACAAACAUAAAAAAUUUGAAGACCACAUUGAGUGCUGGAAUAAAAUAACAAGUGUGAAGUUUGAGGAAAGAACAUUGCACCAGCCUGGUAAAAAAAUGGACAGAAGAACGGAAGAAGGAGCAUUCUGAGAGGAAUGACUGACUGUGGAGAUUUACCCAAACCAGAGAUGAGAGGACUUGGAUUAAAGCAUGCCAAACGUGGCUUUAGCUUUGGUCUGGCACUGGCCAUAGGUGCAGCUCUGUCAUACAAGAUAUUUGUAGCUUCUGCAAGGAAAAGGGAUUUUGCAGAAUUUUACAAGAACUUCGAUCCAGAGGCAGCAGUAGAGCGGAUGGUUGAAGCAGGUGUCCUGCAGUCAGGGAAAUAUGCUGACAAGAAAAAGGGGACAUUCUGGUGACUUAUUCUCUCA